ACAUGCAAGUCGAACGGUAAGGUCUCGCUUGCGAGAUACACGAGUGGCGCACGGGUGAGUAACGCGUAUGCAACAUACCUAUAACUAGAGCAUAGCUCCGAGAAAUCGGAAUUAAUACUCUAUAAUAUCUAUAAAAGGCAUCUUUUUAAGAUUAAAGUUCCGGCGGUUAUAGAUUGGCAUGCGUAACAUUAGCUUGUUGGUGAGGUAACGGCUCACCAAGGCAACGAUGUUUAUGGGGUCUGAGAGGAUGAUCCCACACACUGGUACUGAGACACGGACCAGACUCCUACGGGAGGCAGCAGUGAGGAAUAUUGGGCAAUGGGCGAAAGCCUGACCCAGCCAUGCCGCGUGCAGGAUGACAGUCCUAGUGAUUGUAAACUGCUUUUAAACGAGAAGAAACCCCCGGACGUGUUCGGGGCUGACGGUAUCGUAAGAAUAAGGAUCGGCUAACUCCGUGCCAGCAGCCGCGGUAAUACGGAGGAUCCAAGUGUUAUCCGGAUUUAUUGGGCCUAAAGGGUGCGCAGGCGGGGCAAUUAGUCAGUGGUGAAAUCCUGCAGCUUAACUGUAGAACUGCCAUUGAUACUGUUGCUCUUGAGUGCAGUUGAGGUAAGUGGAACGUGUAAUGUAGCGGUGAAAUGCAUAGAUAUUACACAGAACACCGAUUGCGAAGGCAGCUUACUAAACUGUUACUGACGCUCAGGCACGAAAGCGUGGGGAGCGAACAGGAUUAGAUACCCUGGUAGUCCACGCUGUAAACGUUGAUUACUCGAUGUGUGCGAUAAACAGUACGCGUCCUAGCGAAAGCAUUAAGUAAUCCGCCUGGCGACUACGAUCGCA
This 837-nucleotide ribosomal RNA is filed under the name uncultured bacterium. RNAcentral describes it as "bacterial SSU rRNA". It matches the Rfam family "Bacterial small subunit ribosomal RNA", at positions 53 to 890 of the family's 1533-position model. The record is from RNAcentral.